UGUCACUUGUCGGGGUGCCCGACCGGAAUUUUCCGGAAAGGCUGAGAUGAAACCCGUUGAACCUGAAGAAGUUAAAACUUCCGUAGGAAACAAGCAGGAUACCUGC
This 106-nucleotide non-coding RNA is filed under the name Methylophaga thiooxydans. RNAcentral describes it as "TPP sequence". It matches the Rfam family "TPP riboswitch aptamer (THI element)". Rfam says of the family: Vitamin B(1) in its active form thiamin pyrophosphate (TPP) is an essential coenzyme that is synthesised by coupling of pyrimidine and thiazole moieties in bacteria. The previously detected thiamin-regulatory element, thi box was extended, resulting in a new, highly conserved RNA secondary structure, the THI element, which is widely distributed in eubacteria and also occurs in some archaea. The record is from RNAcentral. RNAcentral also lists the same sequence under 1 other name. Lineage: Bacteria; Pseudomonadati; Pseudomonadota; Gammaproteobacteria; Thiotrichales; Piscirickettsiaceae.